This 301-nucleotide ribosomal RNA is filed under the name uncultured bacterium. Its description in RNAcentral is "partial 16S ribosomal RNA". It matches the Rfam family "Bacterial small subunit ribosomal RNA", at positions 509 to 807 of the family's 1533-position model. The record is from RNAcentral.
CAGCCGCCGCGGGAAUACGUAGGUGGCAAGCGUUGUCCGGAAUUAUUGGGCGUAAAGGGCUCGCAGGCGGUUUCUUAAGUCUGAUGUGAAAGCCCUCGGCUCAACCGGGGAGGGUCAUUGGAAACUGGGAAACUUGAGUGCAGAAGAGGAGAGUGGAAUUCCACGUGUAGCGGUGAAAUGCGUAGAGAUGUGGAGGAACACCAGUGGCGAAGGCGACUCUCUGGUCUGUAACUGACGCUGAGGAGCGAAAGCGUGGAGAGCGAACAGGAUUAGAUACCCCCGUAGUCCCUGUCUCUUAUAC